RNAcentral lists this ribosomal RNA (490 nucleotides) under uncultured bacterium. RNAcentral's name for it is "partial 16S ribosomal RNA". It matches the Rfam family "Bacterial small subunit ribosomal RNA", at positions 30 to 507 of the family's 1533-position model. The record is from RNAcentral.
AUUGAACGCUGGCGGCAGGCCUAACACAUGCAAGUCGAACGGUAACAGGAAGCAGCUUGCUGCUUUGCUGACGAGUGGCGGACGGGUGAGUAAUGUCUGGGAAACUGCCUGAUGGAGGGGGAUAACUACUGGAAACGGUAGCUAAUACCGCAUAACGUCGCAAGACCAAAGAGGGGGACCUUAGGGCCUCUUGCCAUCGGAUGUGCCCAGAUGGGAUUAGCUAGUAGGUGGGGUAACGGCUCACCUAGGCGACGAUCCCUAGCUGGUCUGAGAGGAUGACCAGCCACACUGGAACCGAGACACGGUCCAGACUCCUACGGGAGGCAGCAGUGGGGAAUAUUGCACAAUGGGCGCAAGCCUGAUGCAGCCAUGCCGCGUGUAUGAAGAAGGCCUUCGGGUUGUAAAGUACUUUCAGCGGGGAGGAAGGGAGUAAAGUUAAUACCUUUGCUCAUUGACGUUACCCGCAGAAGAAGCACCGGCUAACUCCGUG